GACGAACGCUGGCGGCGUGCUUAACACAUGCCAGUCGAACGGAAAGGCCCUGCUUUUGUGGGGUGCUCGAGUGGCGAACGGGUGAGUAACACAUGAGUAACCUGCCCUUGACUUUGGGAUAACUUCAGGAAACUGGGGCUAAUACCGGAUAGGAGCUCCUGCUGCAUGGUGGGGGUUGGAAAGUUUCGGCGGUUGGGGAUGGACUCGCGGCUUAUCAGCUUGUUGGUGGGGUAGUGGCUUACCAAGGCUUUGACGGGUAGCCGGCCUGAGAGGGUGACCGGCCACAUUGGGACUGAGAUACGGCCCAGACUCCUACGGGAGGCAGCAGUGGGGAAUAUUGCACAAUGGGCGGAAGCCUGAUGCAGCAACGCCGCGUGCGGGAUGACGGCCUUCGGGUUGUAAACCGCUUUCGCCUGUGACGAAGCGUGAGUGACGGUAAUGGGUAAAGAAGCACCGGCUAACUACGUG
This 468-nucleotide ribosomal RNA is filed under the name uncultured bacterium. Its description in RNAcentral is "partial 16S ribosomal RNA". It matches the Rfam family "Bacterial small subunit ribosomal RNA", at positions 28 to 507 of the family's 1533-position model. The record is from RNAcentral.